Molecule: microRNA, 20 nt
Filed under: Schistosoma mansoni
Lineage: Eukaryota; Metazoa; Platyhelminthes; Trematoda; Strigeidida; Schistosomatidae
Description: sma-miR-8440-5p
Source: miRBase by way of RNAcentral
UACUGAGACAACGAACAUGC